UACAGAGGGUGCAAGCGUUGUUCGGAAUUAUUGGGCGUAAAGCGCGUGUAGGCGGCUUUGCAAGUCGGGUGUGAAAGCCCUCAGCUCAACUGAGGAAGUGCGCCCGAAACUGCAGAGCUUGAGUACCGGAGAGGAUGGCGGAAUUCCCCAAGUAGAGGUGAAAUUCGUAGAUAUGGGGAGGAACACCGGUGGCGAAGGCGGCCAUCUGGACGGAUACUGACGCUGAGGAGCGAAAGCGUGGGGAGCGAACAGG
RNAcentral lists this ribosomal RNA (253 nucleotides) under uncultured bacterium. RNAcentral's name for it is "partial 16S ribosomal RNA". It matches the Rfam family "Bacterial small subunit ribosomal RNA", at positions 524 to 776 of the family's 1533-position model. The record is from RNAcentral.